This is a long non-coding RNA of Ficedula albicollis (Collared flycatcher), 210 nucleotides long. RefSeq lists it as uncharacterized. NCBI's taxonomy places the organism in Eukaryota, Metazoa, Chordata, Aves, Passeriformes, Muscicapidae. The transcript is spliced from 4 exons. The record is from RefSeq and is a predicted model, not a curated record.
AGGGACUUCCUGGCAAGGACGGAGAGACCGGAGCCGCCGGACCCCCAGGACCCGCCGGCCCGGCAGGAGAGAGGGGAGAGCAAGGAGCCCCCGGCCCCUCCGGCUUCCAGGGGCUGCCAGGGCCACCAGGUCCCCCCGGCGAGAGCGGCAAACCCGGAGAUCAGGGUGUUCCUGGAGAAGCUGGAGCUCCCGGGCUUGUGGGUCCCAGGG